This 164-nucleotide small nuclear RNA is filed under the name Sapajus apella (tufted capuchin). Its description in RNAcentral is "Cebus apella (Tufted capuchin) U1 spliceosomal RNA". It matches the Rfam family "U1 spliceosomal RNA". From Rfam's summary of the family: U1 is a small nuclear RNA (snRNA) component of the spliceosome (involved in pre-mRNA splicing). Its 5' end forms complementary base pairs with the 5' splice junction, thus defining the 5' donor site of an intron. There are significant differences in sequence and secondary structure between metazoan and yeast U1 snRNAs, the latter being much longer (568 nucleotides as compared to 164 nucleotides in human). RNAcentral also lists the same sequence under 1 other name. Lineage: Eukaryota; Metazoa; Chordata; Mammalia; Primates; Cebidae. The record is from Rfam by way of RNAcentral.
AUACUUACCUGGCAGGGAAGAUACCAUGAUCAGGAAGGUGGUUUUCCCAGGGCGAGGCUUAUCCAUUGCACUCCAGAUGUGCUGACCCCUGUGAUUUCCCCAAAUAUGGGAAACUCAACUGCAUAAUUUGUGGUAGUGAGGUACUGCAUUUGUGCUUUCCCCUG